GAUGAACGCUGGCGGCGUGCCUAACACAUGCAAGUCGAGCGAGAACCGCUGGAAUGACACUUCGGUAGAAUGAAAGCGGGGAAAGCGGCGGACGGGUGAGUAACGCGUAGGUAACCUGCCCCAUACACAGGGAUAGCCUAGGGAAACCUGGAUUAAUACCUGAUGAAGCAACUGGUCGCAUGACCGGCUGCCAAAGAUUUAUCGGUAUGGGAUGGACCUGCGUCUGAUUAGUGAGUUGGUGGGGUAAUGGCCUACCAAAGCGACGAUCAGUAGCCGACCUGAGAGGGUGAUCGGCCACAUUGGAACUGAGACACGGUCCAAACUCCUGCGGGAGGCAGCAGUGGGGGAUAUUGCACAAUGGGCGGAAGCCUGAUGCAGCAACGCCGCGUGAGCGAAGAAGGUCUUCGGAUCGUAAAGCUCUGUCCUGGGGGAAAACGAAAUGACGGUACCCCGGGAGGAAGCCCCGGCUAACUACGUGCCAGCAGCCGCGGUAAAACGU
This 499-nucleotide ribosomal RNA is filed under the name uncultured bacterium. RNAcentral's name for it is "bacterial SSU rRNA". It matches the Rfam family "Bacterial small subunit ribosomal RNA", at positions 28 to 528 of the family's 1533-position model. The record is from RNAcentral.